This 1180-nucleotide ribosomal RNA is filed under the name metagenome. Its description in RNAcentral is "SSU rRNA". It matches the Rfam family "Eukaryotic small subunit ribosomal RNA", at positions 558 to 1759 of the family's 1831-position model. The record is from RNAcentral.
AGUCUGGUGCCAGCAGCCGCGGUAAUUCCAGCUCCACAAGUGUAUUCCUAUAUUGUUGCGGUUAAAAAGCUCGUAGUUGGAUCUGAGUGCUUAGCGGGUGGUACAGUGUUUCACUGUCACCGCUUCGCGGCACAUAACCGUCGACUGGCUGCUGUUGUUGCCUUCACCGGUGACGGCAGUUAGCUAUCGACAUGUUUACUUUGAACAAAUCAGAGUGCUCAAAACAGGCGUUUCGCUUGUAUGUUUUUGCAUGGAAUAAUAGAAUAGGACCUUGGGUCUAUUUUGUUGGUUUUCGGAAUCAAGGUAAUGAUUAAGAGGGACAGACGGGGGCAUUCGUACUGCAACGGGAGAGGUGAAAUUCUUGGAUCGUUGCAAGACGAACUACUGCGAAAGCAUUUGCCAAGAAUGUUUUCAUUAAUCAAGAACGAAAGUAACGGGUUCGAAGGCGAUCAGAUACCGCCCUAGUCGUUACCGUAAACGAUUGUAACCGGGAGCUAGCAGGCGCUUUACUAUGGCUCUGCUAGAACCCACCCGGAAACGAAGAGUUUUCGAUAUCCGGGGGAAGUAUACUUGCAAAUGUGAAACUUAAAGGAAUUGACGGAAGGGCACCACCAGGGGUGGAGCCUGCGGCUUAAUUUGACACAACACGGGGAAACUCAUCCGGUCCGGACACCGUAAGGAUUGACAGAUUGAGAGCUCUUUCUUGAUUUGGUGGGCAGUGGUGCAUGGCCGUUCUUAGUUGGUGGAGUGAUUUGUCUGGUUUAUUCCGAUAACGAACGAGACUCUAGCCUACUAACUAGUUAUGCGAUCUUCUUGUCGUAUUAACUUCUUAGAGGGACAAGCGGUGCUCAGCCGCAUGAAAAAGAGCAAUAACAGGUCUGUGAUGCCCUUCGAUGUUCGGAGCUGCACGCGCGCUACACUGUAGAGUGCAACGUGCUAGCUUGCCUCGCUCGCAAGAGUGGGGUAAUCGGUUGAAAUUUCUACGCGAUUGGGAUAGGGACUUGUAAUUAUUUCCCUUGAACGAGGAAUCCCUAGUAAGUGCAGGUCAUCAGCUUGUGCUGAUUACGUCCCUGCCCUUUGUACACACCGCCCGUCGCUGCCCGGAACUGAGCCAUUUCGAGAAAAAUGGGGACUGAUUGCUUGUGAGCACGCAAGUGCUUCUUGCAGUCGGAAACCAUCU